Potamilus streckersoni is the source of this 75-nucleotide non-coding RNA. NCBI's taxonomy places the organism in Eukaryota, Metazoa, Mollusca, Bivalvia, Unionida, Unionidae. The record is from the annotation of a GenBank genome assembly.
UGCUCUGGCUCCCUAGUAGUUAGAGCAUCCUCCUCGGAUGCGGGAGGUCGCUGGUUCGAACCCCGGCCUGGUCAU